RNAcentral lists this ribosomal RNA (459 nucleotides) under uncultured bacterium. RNAcentral's name for it is "bacterial SSU rRNA". It matches the Rfam family "Bacterial small subunit ribosomal RNA", at positions 30 to 507 of the family's 1533-position model. The record is from RNAcentral.
AUUGAACGCUGGCGGCAGGCCUAAUACAUGCAAGUCGAACGGGUAACAUAAAAGAAGCUUGCUUCUUUUGAUGACGAGUGGCGGACGGGUGAGUAAUAUUUGGGAAACUACCUGAUAGAGGGGGGACAACAGUUGGAAACGACUGCUAAUACCGCAUAAAGCCUAAGGGUGAAAGCAGCAAUGCGCUAUCAGAUGUGCCCAAACGGGAUUAGCUAGUAGGUGAGGUAAAGGCUCACCUAGGCGACGAUCUCUAGCUGGUCUGAGAGGAUGAUCAGCCACAUUGGGACUGAGACACGGCCCAGACUCCUACGGGAGGCAGCAGUAGGGAAUAUUGCACAAUGGAGGAAACUCUGAUGCAGCCAUGCCGCGUGUGUGAAGAAGGCCUUCGGGUUGUAAAGCACUUUCGGAGGGGAGGAAAAGAUGACGUUACCCUCAGAAGAAGCACCGGCUAACUCCGUG